AGGGGGCUCCGGCUCCCGCUAUCGGAUGAGCCUAUGUCGGAUUAGCUGGUUGGUGAGGUAAAGGCUCACCAAGGCGACGAUCCGUAGCUGGUCUGAGAGGAUGAUCAGCCACAUCGGGACUGAGACACGGCCCGAACUCCUACGGGAGGCAGCAGUGGGGAAUAUUGGACAAUGGGGGGAACCCUGAUCCAGCCAUGCCGCGUGUGUGAAGAAGGCCCUCGGGUUGUAAAGCACUUUCAGUGAGGAAGAACGCCUGGUGGUUAAUACCCAUCAGGAAAGACAUCACUCACAGAAGAAGCACCGGCUAACUCCGUGCCAGCAGCCGCGGUAAUACGGAGGGUGCGAGCGUUAAUCGGAAUUACUGGGCGUAAAGCGCGCGUAGGUGGCUUGAUAAGCCGGUUGUGAAAGCCCCGGGCUCAACCUGGGAACGGCAUCCGGAACUGUCAAGCUAGAGUGCAGGAGAGGAAGGUAGAAUUCCCGGUGUAGCGGUGAAAUGCGUAGAGAUCGGGAGGAAUACCAGUGGCGAAGGCGGCCUUCUGGACUGACACUGACACUGAGGUGCGAAAGCGUGGGUAGCAAACAGGAUUAGAUACCCUGGUAGUCCACGCCGUAAACGAUGUCGACCAGCCGUUGGGUGCCUAGCGCACUUUGUGGCGAAGUUAACGCGAUAAGUCGACCGCCUGGGGAGUACGGCCGCAAGGUUAAAACUCAAAUGAAUUGACGGGGGCCCGCACAAGCGGUGGAGCAUGUGGUUUAAUUCGAUGCAACGCGAAGAACCUUACCUACUCUUGACAUCCUGCGAAUUUGGUAGAGAUACCUUAGUGCCUUCGGGAACGCAGAGACAGGUGCUGCAUGGCUGUCGUCAGCUCGUGCUGUGAAAUGUUGGGUUAAGUCCCGUAACGAGCGCAACCCUUGUCCUUAUUUGCCAGCGCGUAAUGGCGGGAACUCUAAGGAGACUGCCGGUGACAAACCGGAGGAAGGUGGGGA
This 987-nucleotide ribosomal RNA is filed under the name uncultured Halomonas sp. RNAcentral describes it as "bacterial SSU rRNA". It matches the Rfam family "Bacterial small subunit ribosomal RNA", at positions 202 to 1179 of the family's 1533-position model. Lineage: Bacteria; Pseudomonadati; Pseudomonadota; Gammaproteobacteria; Oceanospirillales; Halomonadaceae. The record is from RNAcentral.